RNAcentral lists this long non-coding RNA (1642 nucleotides) under Venturia canescens. Its description in RNAcentral is "uncharacterized LOC122417285". Lineage: Eukaryota; Metazoa; Arthropoda; Insecta; Hymenoptera; Ichneumonidae. The record is from RNAcentral.
UAGUCUUUUGUUCGCGGUAAAUCGAUGAAAAAAAUUAUUUUUCUAAAUUUGUUUUUGUCGCAUUGAACAAAUAAUCAUAAAAAUGACUUUCUUAAAUUUACAGCUUGUUGAAAAAGAGCAGAACCCAAUAACCUUUGCUGGUAAAGUAGUACGUAUAUUAGGAAACAACUCUCGAAUAAUAAAUCCACCAAAACGCAGUUUCAAAUAAAAUUACGUUUUGUUUCUUUCGUAGGCAAGCGCAAUGUUGAAUUUGCCAGCAGAAAAACCAGAACCGACGAAACGUCGACGAAAUCGAAAUAGAACACGAAAACCGACAUUGGGGCCACGACGAAAUCUUACACCAAAAGAACGAGCUGAGGUGAAUAUUUGACGGAAAAAGUUGUGCAGAUAUAUUUUAUAAUUGCUGGAUUUCUUUCCACACUUUUUUCAUUAGAUAUUUUUUAACUGAAAAUUUGUGAGAAAAUGUGAGAGGUCAAUAGGUUCGUUGCAUUCGACUAAUGGAUUCAUCGUUUUGUUUAAUUUGAUGACUUUCUUUGAUAUUUGGACUUGAUUAGUAAUGACCAUCUGAAUGUGCAUAUUUUGUCAGAUUUUAAUCAAGUAAGUCAAUUACUGUGAAGGUCUUUCACAACUUAGAAUGGAUUCAAAUUGAAUAAACAAAAUUUUGGGGGCCUCUCUAUAAGAACAGAUUCAGUGUAAUUGAGUGGAUUUUUAUAAAGCUGUUUGCUUCUUUAUGAGAGUCGAUAAUUUCGGAAUCUGGGAGGUUUUAAAUUUUUUUUCACAGAAUUUCAUCUGCUUGUCUAUCUUUUGCGCUCCGUACCAGACAAAAUCACGAUUACAAUGAGAAUAAUGAAUUUCACUCCACAGCUCGGAAAGAACGCAUUCAACAUGUUGAUAGAAGAUGGUAAGACUUUAAUAACAUAUACUUGGAUAGAAAUGCAACCUUAAAUUCUAGUGUAGUGAAUGAAAAAUAAUGUUUUUGCUUCACGAGUAACAUUUUUGCUGCAUUUGUAAGCAUUAUGUUUCUUAACAAUCAAAAUAUUUUUUAUUCAGUCUAAUUGACCUUAGCGACUCUCUUACACAGACACAACCAGGAAAACGUCGUCGAGAGCGCGAGCCCUAAGAUCUCUGGAAUAACGUAAAUUCCUAGCGAAUUUCAAGAUACUUGUGGAUGUGUGUAACAGUUGAACAAUAAAAAUAUAAUACAAUUCGUGCACGAAUACUGAGUCUUUUUAGGAUGAUCGAACCGUACAAAACCGUAAGAAAAUAUAAACUUCGAGUCAGCUAAUCAUAGCCAAAAACGUAGAUUGAAAACUGUGGACCCCAAAAGAAAAAAAAAGCACGAGAUAGUUUUGGAAAACAGCAUUUUUUGUAUGUAUUCAAACAAUCACUGCUGGAAAAAGAUUCUUGUAACACGUUGACAAGUUUUGUUCGUCAAGUUUUCUCAAAUAGUUGUAGAAAAAUUGUCUCGUUAAAAAAGGAUACAAAAGGAAAGGUACUUCAGGAAUAAUGCGAAGAAAAUACUUGGUAGAAAUUAAAUUCAAUAAUAAAAUGAAAAUUAAAUCACGCUAAGCGGAAAGUGAAGAAAAUCGUUUAUUCAACAAAUUUAUUUGAUUAUUUGUUGGAAGAAAGAGUAAGAUGGACG